AUUGUGAUGCGCAUAGAGCUUUCUGUUGAGCGGGGAUUUGCGCUAUACAAAUGCUAUCUAUUAUUAUUAAUGUUAUAUCUAUAGUGAGUCUUCUACUCUGCCACUGUAUACUUCUAAUCAUAAUAGAAUCUCAAAAUUACAUUUUGUGGUGAUGAACACUUUGUAAAAAGGUAUUAAUUAUAAAAUUCAACGACAAGCACAUCUGGUCGGGGUAGGCAGUUUAAUACUUAACAACUGGCACAUACUCUGUUCACAUGCUCUGCUUGGAAGAGACACUGACCACAUGGUCUCGUGCUUAUAUACUGCUCACAACACUGACAAAGGUAAUCACUACAAAAGAACGAAGGCAACUCCCAACAGUAACGGGUGAUAACUAAGAAUAAUGAACGAGGACAACUGGACACUGACUUAUUGGGUUAAAUCCCUUAAACAUGUUUGACAGUGACAACACUACAUUAAUGACCAAAGAUAUAACCUGCAACUGUUGGAUGUAUAUAUGUUUAAUUACAGUAUAAGCUUAUGUCUUUGAGAAGAAAAACUUUUUUUGUUUUUGCUUAUUUUAGAAGAUUGAUUUUUCUGCACUAAAUUUGGGUGUAAAUGGAGCAUUCUGUAAAUGAAUAUUGGGGGGAAAACAGGGUGUUCCAGAUUUUUUUCAAGAUUUCGUGUGUUCUUAAUUUGGGCAUAAAUAGAGUAUUUUGUAAAAUGAAUUCUGGGAAAAAAAGUGUUCCAAGAUGAGGCUGCUUAAAGAGUGAAACGAAAGAUGCACAGUUCUGCUUUUUUGUGCUGUAACAAUGUUCACAUGCAGCAUGCUUCCUUGGACAGGCAAUAAAAUUAGGGUGUUUGCUUGAAAGUAAGUGUUCAUCUGCACAAGUAAAUGACUUUAGAUUUCAGCCAAAUUUGGCUGCUACUCAUAGCUGCCCUCCAAAUAAUAAGUAAAUUAGUAUUAAAUACGGUAGUCUCUGCCUUAGAUGUCGGUGCUUGGGAACAAGGAAAAAUCUGUAUCUUAAGCGAACAGGAUUUUAGCCAAUGCACCCAGGGAAGAUUCCGUACUGACUCAUGUUCUGCCCCACAAUCGGUAAGGACCAAUGACAAUGGCAUAAGGGCAUUUUCAUUUAAUCCAAUCGUGAGUCGCAUGAUUUUUAUGCUGAUCCUAUUGCUCCUCCCUUGUACUUAUCCAAAAUUGAUAGCUUUCCAUGUUUGACCGAAUUCCCCUGCCUCUGCCAUAACACUCUGCCAUUGUGUUGUGACUGUUAUUACCCACUCAGUGUACGAUGUGAGUUCAGGUGGAGAGCUCAGAUUCGAGUGAAAUUUUGGGAGGAAAACUAACACAUCAUCGAUUUCACACCUGGGUGUGAUCUUGUCUGGGGCAAGAAUUGUACCAUUGCAUCAAGAUUUACAAUGCACAUGUGAUCACAAAACUGUAUGAUCUGUGAGUAAGUUUUCACCCAUUUUUUUUUCUCCAUUUUUUGUUGUUCUGUAAAUUGUGAUCUUAAGUGCGGGAUCUCAGCCAAAUGUAAUCCUUUAGAACGGGAUCUUAGGGGUCACUUUUGUGUACUAAAAAUUAUGUUUUCUUAAUAAAGCUGCGGGAUCUGGGAUAGUAAGUAGCAUGAUCUUAGGCGGAGACUACUGUAUUUAGAAUUUUUUGCAAAAUAGUUGAAAAUCAGUAGGCCUACUUAUAAAUGGACGUUCUAGAGGUAUAUUUUCAAAAGUUUCUCGAAAUGACCACCUUCUGGUGGAUUUUCUCAGAGCAACACACAUUUUAUAACUUAGAAUCAUACCUGAAGAAAAGAACAAGCUAUGUAAAACAAUGUAUGCUGAACCCCAAGUUUGUUUACUUACAUGGAUCUUGCAAACAAAAGAUGUUUUUCCUGUGGUCCAGUGGGUAUGUUCAAGAGCAAUUAAAGCACCACAAAUAACUGAAGAUUGGUUUUCAUAGAUUAUGUUAUACAGUUCAAAAGAUUUCUUAUGCUGUUUGCUUACUAUUUUUUUCCAUAGAACCUCCCGGAUAUUGCAUGUUUUAUGUGACAAAUGCUUCAAGUGCUAAUCGUGUUGUAAUCUAAUUAAACUGUGGAUAUUGCAAGUUUGUGCCUUGUUUAUUUGAAUAUAUUGCUUGCUACUCUCAUGUCAUGUAUGUCCUCUUAAAAGAAUCAUUGAAAUCCAUCAGAGCAUGUACAGUACACAAAUACAAAUAUUUCAUUCCUCAUUAAUGGGUUGCAUAUUUAUUUUUUCUAUAAUUAUCAUGACAGAAUGUUCCUUUGUUUAAAGAUGUCUUUAUGUAAAAGGUACCUUUUAAAGAAAAGAUUAUAUAGACUAUCUUAUCUUGAUUAUUUAUGACGAUCACAAUGUAAUUGAUAAAUGUUUUUCUAAUUUUGCAAUUAUUAAGUUUUCUCUGCUAGCCUUUGAUAUCCACCCAAAAGGCUCUGGGGACUUUAGCUGGAUUUAUGGCAUCUCCCAUCACCAAGGUGGUCCUUUCGUUGAGCUUUUGGAGUAUUUAUUGAAGCACCUGUGUCCCCAGGGUUCUCCUCUACUCUCUGCAACUAUCUCCCAUUUGGUUCGCAACUGCUUAGCAGCUAACCUCCAUGUCUUGAAGCCAUUUCCCUAUUCUCCAACCGAUGUUGUGAUGAGAUGGGGAACCACACUAAAUCUUUAGUGCCUCCCAUAACCUAUAAGUACUUACUAAGAUAUUACAUUAAUAAAAAAAAAGUGGUGGUGUUUCAAGUGAUAAUUACAAAAAGUUAACAUGGGAUGUACACAUGAGUGUGAAUGUAGGAUUGGACUUUUUCCUUUUUUUUCUAGUUUGUUCAUGGGCAUAUUUCAUAAUUGUUAAAUAUUUAUGAAGGGAACAGAGAGAGUGUAUUCUUUAUCUGUACAGGGACCUUUGUCAUGUCACAGCCACUAUACUAUAACUAUAGAUUAUAGCAAAUCAUUUGUAAAUAUAUUUUUAAAAAUGUUUCCAUCAUUCUGUGAUUGGUGUUGUGUUACAUGUCUUAAGUGUUGAGAAGUAAUUAUACCCUCUUGACAAGUGCAACCUCGAAAUGCAACGCUCAUGGUGAGCUUUUUUUUAACCACCAUAUAUGUGAAAUCUAUUUUCAGCUUUCCACAUUGUGCUUCUUGCAGCAUAGUUUCAGAAGCAUUGAAGGGUUUAAAUUUGAAAUAACUUUUGUUUGUGUGUUUGUACAUGUAUACUUAUAUGUGAGCCAUUCUCAAAAUGUCGACAUAAAAAACAACUUCCUAAAUUCCGGACAGUUUUUAUACUCCUAACGCAGUGUAUACUGAGUAUUUUGUUUUUAAUCUUGAUAGUUGAGAAGACAGACACUUACAACACUUACUCAAGAAACUUAAUAAAUUUUUAAACUCUACUUCUACUUCUGUGACUGACCCGCUGGUCAAACUAUGAGCACAGCUGACAUUCAUAUAUAUUGCAGCUUGAUAUUUUUUCUCUCCCACCAUCCUUGUUGACGUAAACAUAGAUAUUCUAUCUAAACUCUGAAAGUUUUUCGUUUUCGUAAUCAUGAUAUGGAGCUUCUUUGCAUAGGAUUGUGUAGAGUAGUUUGUGAUAGUUCACCGGUUAAAAAUAGUUGCACUCUUUGUAACCGCUUCUCAUUAAAAGGAAAAUCUCUACUAGAAUGUAUUUGUAAGGUACCGGCAUCAAAUUCUAAUAUGUUUGGAAAAUCAUGAUUCUUAUGUAAAUUUUACAUUUGUUUUGUUUUUCAUAACUGGAGGAAAAGAGACACUCCUAUUAGGGUUAUGUUCACUUUUUUAGAAAAUAUCAUAGAUAUGUUUGUAUGAGUGCAUGUACGCUUGCAUGUGUGUUUGUGUGUGUGUGUGUGUUUUGAAUGUUUAAUAAUCUUACUUUUGCUAGUUUUGUUUUCUGCAUUAUUUUGAAAUGACUGUCCUAAUUGCAUUCAUAUAUGACACAUCUUAAUCAGUGAUCGGAACUUUUCAUAAUACUAUUUGACUGGGUUCCUGUUACACAAUACGAUCAUGUCACUAUG
Molecule: long non-coding RNA, 3995 nt
Organism: Aplysia californica (California sea hare)
Lineage: Eukaryota; Metazoa; Mollusca; Gastropoda; Aplysiida; Aplysiidae
Exons: 2
Source: RefSeq, a predicted model, not a curated record